CCUACGGGAGGCAGCAGUGGGGAAUAUUGGGCAAUGGGCGCAAGCCUGACCCAGCAACGCCGCGUGAAGGAAGAAGGCUUUCGGGUUGUAAACUUCUUUUGUCAGGGACGAAGCAAGUGACGGUACCUGACGACUAAGCCACGGCUAACUACGUGCCACCAGCCGCGGUCAUACGUAGGGGGCAAGCCUUAUCCGGAUGUACUGGGGGUAAAGGGCGUGUAGGCGGGACUGCAAGUCAGAUGGUAAAACUAAGGGCGCAACCUAUUGCGUGCCUUUGAAACUGUAGUUCUUGAGUACUCGAGAGGUAGACGGAAUGCCUGGUGUAGCGGUGAAAUGCGUAGAUAUGAGGAGGAACACCAGUGGCGAAGGCAGGAUGCCGGAGAGCAACUGACGCUGAGGCGCGAAAGUGUGGGUAGCGAACAGGAUUAGAUACCCUAGUAGUC
Molecule: ribosomal RNA, 443 nt
Filed under: uncultured bacterium
Lineage: Bacteria
Description: partial 16S ribosomal RNA
Rfam family: Bacterial small subunit ribosomal RNA
Source: RNAcentral